Molecule: unclassified non-coding RNA, 4107 nt
Filed under: Leishmania donovani
Lineage: Eukaryota; Euglenozoa; Kinetoplastea; Trypanosomatida; Trypanosomatidae
Description: gene:LdHU3.33.3210(CDS-product:phosphoglycerate_m utase_putative)
Source: RNAcentral
UUUUUCCUCUACCUCCUCCUCGUGUGCCGCACGCAUAUACACACACGUACACACAUACACACGCACAGUCUCUCGCUCUCUGCUUGAGGAGGCCUCGCUCUGUGUGUCUCUGCCACUCUCCAUCCUCUCUUGCGCCUCUUCGUCGGCAUCCUCCGUCUUCUCUCUUUAUUACACGAGCUUCACCGCUUUCGUGCUUUCGUACGCCUGCGUGUUUUCUUUUACGAGCAGUAGUCAUCUACCCUUCGCCUCCCCUUCCUUCCGCAGACACAUUCCUCGGGCCUGUCUCGCUGCCUCUCUCGUUUUUUUUCCUUUGUCGCUUUAUUCUUUUUUUUUCUGUAGUUGUUGCUGUGGUUGUGGUGACCGUGCGUUGUGCCUUUCUUUGCUUCCCCCCGUUUUUUUUUCGCCUUGCGGCUCACUCACGCCUGUGAUAGCGCUUCUCCCUCCUUCUUUCCUCUGUCCGUCUGCCUGAACAUUUUUUUCCUUGUGGCGUAAUUCGGCGUCUUCGCACUCCGCUGUGCGCAUCGACGCGUGCACGUCCACUAACAGAGAGAGAUCGUACGACGUGCGUGUUCUCCCGCCAGAUUUGACGGGCUCGCAUUGCCUUUGCUAGUUAUAUAUCUAUCUAUCUAUCUAUAUAUAUAUAUAUUUCACCCUCGUGCGCGCAACCUGCUUCUUUGCUGCGCGCCCGAUUGUCUUGCCAGUCUCGUCUCCGUCGUCUGCCGCCUGGCGGGACACCAGCUUUGCGUGCUCCUGCACUCGCGUUUUUGGGCGCUCGUGCGAGUGCGUUAGUGCGGGGUUUCUGUGUGCACCGCGCAAGUACACCAGAAAAAGAAAAAAAAACAGUAGAACAUGACAACUUCAACGCACGCUGCACUUGCGCCGCGUGCGCUACGGCACGCCCUGACAGCACGUGCAAGUGCUCCUCGACUGCCGAGCGGGGCAUCGCCGUGCUGCUGCCACGGCGCUUUUCGAGCAGCCCGCAUGGUGUGGGUCGGUGUGGCUGCGUCGCUGAUGCCUGUGACACUCGCUUCUUCGCAUCGGUGCGCAUCCUCGAAAGGAUUCUCGAAGAACGACACGCCAUCACCGCCACCGCCACCGGUGCCGCCGUCUUCUGCUGUGCCGCAGGAUACGGCGACACCCGGCUGGAUUGCGACUCGCAAGCCAAAUGGCGAGCAGCGCAUGUCCAUUUCGAUUCGCAGCACCGCGCAACGACAGCUUGCACGUCGACAACCGCCGACAACCUCAUCGAGCUCCGCUUCCCUACCUCGGGCUGCGUUUGCUCCGGCGAGCCGCCCCGCCUCUGCUGCUGAGGCAACGCCCGAGCCAGCCUCGUCGUCCCAGGUCCCAGAAAAGCAGGAAGCCGCGUCAAAGGCGAUCCUUGAUAAUGCACGUUUUUCCUCUUGCGCUGCCGCACCGCCGCCGUUUUCCGCCAGCAGCGAUCAGCGCUCUAAUCAGAACAACAAGUGUAUCCACGACACACCCACUCUGACGUCUAAGCCUCCGCCACCGACGUCUUCCGCUUCAUCAAGGGGCGCAGCGGCUCCGUCAUCGCCACCCUCAGCGCCAUCUUCAACCACCGGCACACCAAGAAGCGGUCAUGACGCUGAGCCGGAGUGUCCUCACGACGCGGCGUCGUCCACUGCAUCCCCUUCUGCAGCGGGGUCGUCGGCGGUCGCCAGUUCGCAAAGGACAGCCGCGCCGCACUCGCUGCUUUACUCGGUGUCCCGUUUCACAGAGCCCGUCAAGCGCAUUAUUCUAAUCCGGAACGGCCGCAGCGAGGCCAAUGAAGAUGUGAGGGCGUACGUGCAGACACCAGACUGGCGCAUUCCAUUGGUAGAGGAGGGAAAGCGCGAGGCGAUCGCGGCGGGGCGCGCGCUGAGCGAGCUCAUCGGCGAUGAUCCCGUGUACUUUUACUACUCUCCGUACAUCCGAUCGCGGCAGUCGCUGCGAUACGUGCUGCAGGGCUUUGAUGAGGCCCGAUUAAGUGGGCUGUCACACACGCAGGAGUGGUGGGAGGAUGAAGAAACCGCCGGUGUCGCAUCAGCGGCAGCGGCUGCAGAGUCUUUGACGCUUAAGUGCGCCACCGCAUCAGCGGACGAGGCGGGCGCGCCACCUCUACUCGCCCCGGCUCCAUCAGCGAUCUCUACCAACGCGACUUCUUCAGACGCGCAGUGUUGCUUCCAUCGCGACCCAUCUCUUGUGCUGAACAGAGGAACGAGCAACAACAUCAUUGGCGUCCGCGAAGAUGUGCGUCUUCGAGACGGCGACAUUGGCCGCUACACGAGCGCCGACGAGCUCAUGCACCACCUUGUGGAGCGUGAACGAUACGGCAGGUUCUUCUACCGCUUCCCCUUUGGCGAGAGCGGCGCGGACGUCUGCGACCGUGUCACCUCCUUCCUCGAUGCGUUUCAGCGCGAGCGGGUCGAGUUUCCGAUGGACACAAGCGUCGUCAUCAUCACCCAUGGGCUGACGAUGCGCAUGUUUAUCAAGCGCUGGUUCUACCUCACGGUGGAGACGUUUCACAAGAUGAAGUCGCCACCGCCUGGGUCGUUGUGCACGUUGACUCGCUUGCACCACCGCAGCUGCUUCCGCCUGGACGAAUGCUGCGUGGAGUCGAUGAACCUGCCGUUGUCGCUGAACGAGUUCAACGGAUACAAGUAUCGCAACAAGCAGCUGCUGGGCUCCAUGAGCUCCGGUGCCCCGUAUAUGUGAAUCCUCGCGUGCCGCGGCAGUGCCCAUCUACGUGUUUGUCUGCGCCUCUCCUUCCCCUACCAUACGGACGGUCAACUACAUGAGCGCCUUUCGUUUUGCUUGGGAUGGCGGCCGUGUAUAGGGAGGCGGAGUCCCGGCAGAGGGCGUCUUGAGUCGAUGAGCGACGGCAGUGGGGGGAGAGGCGGAGGCGCUGGGCAUCGCGUCCAUUCGCCUCACUCACUUGAGCGACUGGCAUGCCCACCGUUUUCUUUGUCUGCGCGUGCUUCUCCUCGUCGCGCAUCUACGCAAGACGGGGCUGGAGGGCAAGGGAAGAAGGAAGAGUGGGUGUGGGUGUGGGCUAGGCAGGGAUGGAGGUCCGUGAUGGUGCUGCUGGACGUUGUCCUCCCUCCCUCUAUCCGUUUCACUCCCUCAUUCCUGCCUUCCACCGCCGCCACUCGCCCUUUCGUACCUCCCACCCGGUAUUGCCUUCAGCGGCCAUCACUCGUCUCCAAGUCUCUUCUCGCCAUGGUGCUCUGUUUCUCCCUUUUUUUGUCUUUGUUGCUUUCUGCCCUUUUCUCUUUCGGUUUGCAAUGCUGCGCGCGCACCCUCCUGGUGGGCUUCCUUCCGUUCAUUUUUUUUUUUGCACACCGCUGGACGAGUCCAGGGACGCACUACGAACAAGCGAAGCGUAGAUGAGCGAAAAGAAAUGUGCGUGUGCGCGCGAGGAGGCGCGCGACCGGAUACAUCCACAGUGAGGGAGCCAUGAUGGGGCGCAGCGUACAUCCAGGGAUACAUACCCAGAGAGGUGCCCUGACGCACAGAAAUGCAUGACCAUUUGUGCCGUGCCUUUUUUUCUCUCGGCUAUGCCGAUGUGUUUCUCAACCUUCUGUGUGCGUCGAUGCAUGCGUGCGGAAAGGGUUGAGGGGUGACGGUGGCGACUGUGAUUUGCUGAUCUCACCCUUUGCAUUCUCAUCGACCGCACCCGUACGCUAAUUUUCAUUGACCCUCGCCGGUGACUACACGCACGUGCGCGCGCGCGAUAGAGAGACAGAGGGCAGCCAGAAGCAAAAAGGAUGCCUUGCCUCUGUUGGCAAAUGUUCGCCCUUUCCUCAACGACCGCCUCCACCGUCUGCUCGGUGACGGGCGUGCAAAGGUGCAGGUGCCGCCCACCUCACGUUCCCCUCGUAGAGGCUGUGCAUCACUUGGCCGAGCGUGUUGCUCGCUUCCACCUCCAUUGUGCCAUCACUUACUUUGGCUCUCUUUUCGUUAUUAUCUUGUGCCGUCUACCACUCUUACGGCACCCCGUGAAAACGCCAUGGCUCGUUCGUUUGUAUAAUACGUGUACUUGUUUUCUCGCGUCCUCCUUUGUGCGCGUGUCUCACUGAUGCUCGCGCGCACGCGCACGUCGGCUGCCAG